This 147-nucleotide antisense RNA is filed under the name [Enterobacter] lignolyticus SCF1. RNAcentral describes it as "Enterobacter cloacae SCF1 Bacterial antisense RNA HPnc0260". It matches the Rfam family "Bacterial antisense RNA HPnc0260". The record is from Rfam by way of RNAcentral. Lineage: Bacteria; Pseudomonadati; Pseudomonadota; Gammaproteobacteria; Enterobacterales; Enterobacteriaceae.
AAAGACAAAGUAAAUACAGACUACAUUAGCAGCGUGCAGAGUAAGUAAGAAGGAUAGGUGUUUGAGAUAAAGAGAAGAGAACGAGCACCAGAUCACGAAACUGUGAAAUGGUGCGUCCGAGUGGACUCGAACCACCGACCCCCACCA